CGGCAAUAUUAAUACAGCUAAUGGCCAAAGAAGUAUGUUUUUUAUACUAAGUGUAUGGAAUGAAACAAAAACGUCCUGCAAGGUCGUUAUAGAGUUGCGUUUAGUCGUUUAUCGUUGUAUUCGUUCAUUUCGAAAUCGCCACUGACAAAAGUAUUAAAGAAAAAAUUGGCAGCUUUCUGGCGACGGCAAUUAAUAGAGAUUAUGGAA
Molecule: non-coding RNA, 207 nt
Organism: Hydra vulgaris (swiftwater hydra)
Lineage: Eukaryota; Metazoa; Cnidaria; Hydrozoa; Anthoathecata; Hydridae
Source: RefSeq, a predicted model, not a curated record